AGUGUAGCACUUGCUAUGUUACGGCCAUAGAGGAGGUACUAUUGGGUACCCUACACUU
This 58-nucleotide transfer RNA is filed under the name Rhinebothrium sp. 1. RNAcentral's name for it is "tRNA-Arg". Lineage: Eukaryota; Metazoa; Platyhelminthes; Cestoda; Rhinebothriidea; Rhinebothriidae. The record is from RNAcentral.